RNAcentral lists this ribosomal RNA (497 nucleotides) under uncultured bacterium. RNAcentral describes it as "partial 16S ribosomal RNA". It matches the Rfam family "Bacterial small subunit ribosomal RNA", at positions 28 to 507 of the family's 1533-position model. The record is from RNAcentral.
GAUGAACGCUGGCGGCGUGCCUAAUACAUGCAAGUCGAGCGAACGGACGAGAAGCUUGCUUUUCUGAUGUUAGCGGCGGACGGGUGAGUAACACGUGGAUAACCUACCUAUAAGACUGGGAUAACUUCGGGAAACCGGAGCUAAUACCGGAUAAUAUUUUGAACCGCAUGGUUCAAAAGUGAAAGACGGUCUUGCUGUCACUUAUGGAUGGAUCCGCGCUGCAUUAGCUAGUUGGUAAGGUAACGGCUUACCAAGGCAACGAUGCAUAGCCGACCUGAGAGGGUGAUCGGCCACACUGGAACUGAGACACGGUCCAGACUCCUACGGGAGGCAGCAGUAGGGAAUCUUCCGCAAUGGGCGAAAGCCUGACGGAGCAACGCCGCGUGAGUGAUGAAGGUCUUCGGAUCGUAAAACUCUGUUAUUAGGGAAGAACAUAUGUGUAAGUAACUGUGCACAUCUUGACGGUACCUAAUCAGAAAGCCACGGCUAACUACGUG